GCACCUACCGAUUGAAUGGUCCGGUGAGAACUCGGGAUUGUGGUUUGGCUCCUUCAUUGGGGCCUGACUGCGAGAACUUGUCCGAACCUUAUCAUUUAGAGGAAGGUGAAAGUCGUAACAAGGUUUCCGUAGGUGAACCUGCGGAAGGAUCAUUA
This 155-nucleotide ribosomal RNA is filed under the name Minidiscus sp. RCC4801. Its description in RNAcentral is "partial 18S ribosomal RNA". It matches the Rfam family "Eukaryotic small subunit ribosomal RNA", at positions 1678 to 1831 of the family's 1831-position model. Lineage: Eukaryota; Bacillariophyta; Thalassiosirophyceae; Thalassiosirales; Thalassiosiraceae. The record is from RNAcentral.